Long non-coding RNA from Tyto alba (common barn owl), 1536 nucleotides. RefSeq lists it as uncharacterized. Lineage: Eukaryota; Metazoa; Chordata; Aves; Strigiformes; Tytonidae. The transcript is spliced from 3 exons. The record is from RefSeq and is a predicted model, not a curated record.
UCCUGAAAAGUUUUUUCAAAGAAACUCUCAGACUUGAACUGGUGCAGCUUUGCAGAGUGGAGCUCUCACUGUACUUCAAAGCAGAGAAAAUCUUGCAGCUGUCUGGAGCUUGCUUGCCCCAGGAGGUGUCACUGUUGGGACUAGCAGGUGCUCAAGCCCACAGAUAACGUGUAAUGGUCCCAGCUUGAAGAGAGACAGUAUUACAAGUUCCUGUGAGUAAAUCUCAGCGUACAGAUGAACUUACAAGAUCCACCCUAAUAUUCCAAGGUUAUGUCCUGCCUGAUGGGCUGUCACAGAAGUGCUAAAACCAUCUCACACAAAGGCACCACGGGACUCCCACCAUCAACAUGAGCUCUCUGCCUGCCUCUGGUGCUAGCUGUCAGAACCGCUUCAUCUGAAAUCAAGGUAAAGAAUCAGCAGCACUAAAUACUACAGGACAAAGGCAUAAACUAGCUUUGUAACCCUGGGCAACCAGGAUGUUUGCUGACUGACAGUGUGAAUGACAGCCCAGUUGUCAGUCUAAAAUAUCAUCCUCUAAUCAUUCCAGAUGUCAUCCGACAAGAUGAUGGCUACUAAAAAGGGGAAUAAUUUGGGAAAAGUCAUAAAGCCCAUUAUCUCCUGCUGAAACCAUUUCUCUUUGCCAUUUCUGAAGUCUCUGGAAAAUAGAUCCAGAAUCCCAUAUGUAAUACGCAACUGGUUUAUUAAGAGAGAGUGGCCACUUAGAUCUGCACCGGGUACCCCAUUACAUGCCUAGGGAAACCUGCCCUCAAGAUACACCACUCCUUCAUGUCUUGGCAGGUGACUCCAAGCUGGCCCUAUAGUGUAACUGAAAUAUUUCACCUGUUCCAAAAUACAACAGGAAGCAAAAGGCUGCAGUAGCAGUCACUCAGACACUGAAUCUAGCAAAUCAGAGAGAGGAUGGAGUUGUUCACAAUGUCAGCAGAGUCCAGUUUCUGGCUAGAAUUCUUAUUAUAUUUUCUCCUAAGUAAAGAAGGAAACAACUGAAGACUUUGUUAAGGCAUUUCCAUUCUUGCUUAAUUCAUUCAACUGCAUUUUAAUUUCAAUAUGAAGAGAGGACUGUAUUCUGAACUUUAUGCUGAAUGAAGGGCUGCACAUAAAGUGAAAAUAACAAAUAAAAGGAGAAAAUCUCUCUUGAAAAUGACAACAAAAUAUCGUGCAGGUGGAGGAGGGGAAGACAGGAAAGGCAGAAGAGUCUGGAUCUUGAGCUUUAUGGGGUUUGCAUUACAAGGUUUUGGUAGCAGGGGGCUAGUGGGGUGGCUUCUGUGAGAAGCUGCCAGAAGCUUCCUGCACGUCCGACAGAGUCAACACUAGUCGGCUCCUUGACAGACACACUGCUGGCCAAGGCCGAGCCCAUCAGCAACGGUGGUAGAACCUCUGGGAUAACGUAUUCAAGAAGAGGAAAAAAAACCCUACACAACUAAAGAAUGUUUGAGAGCAACAACUCUACAGACACCAAGGUCAGUGAAGGAGGGGGGAGGAGGUGCUCCGGGUGCCGGAGCAGAGAUUCCCCUACAG